Molecule: microRNA precursor, 145 nt
Filed under: Gossypium hirsutum (cotton)
Lineage: Eukaryota; Viridiplantae; Streptophyta; Magnoliopsida; Malvales; Malvaceae
Description: MIR7502 microRNA precursor family
Rfam family: MIR7502 microRNA precursor family
Source: Rfam by way of RNAcentral
UAUUAAAAAUCGCAUCCAUUCCUACAGUUGAAAACUAACAUGCAUGACAGAAUAAUUAUACAAUUAGAUAUAACAUAUAACGUAUAUCUCAUUCUGAUGCACACGAACUAAAUUUUAGUUGCAAAAAUAGAUGAAACUUUAAAUA